This 1028-nucleotide ribosomal RNA is filed under the name uncultured bacterium. RNAcentral describes it as "bacterial SSU rRNA". It matches the Rfam family "Bacterial small subunit ribosomal RNA", at positions 347 to 1393 of the family's 1533-position model. The record is from RNAcentral.
UGCAGCAGUGGGGAAUAUUGCACAAUGGGGGAAACCCUGAUGCAGCGACGCCGCGUGAGCGAAGAAGUAUUUCGGUAUGUAAAGCUCUAUCAGCAGGGAAGAAAAUGACGGUACCUGACUAAGAAGCCCCGGCUAACUACGUGCCAGCAGCCGCGGUAGUACGUAGGGGGCAAGCGUUAUCCGGAUUUACUGGGUAUAAAGGGAGCGUAGACGGAGCAGCAAGUCUGAUGUGAAAACCCGGGGCUCAACCCCGGGACUGCAUUGGAAACUGUUGAUCUGGAGUGCCGGAGAGGUAAGCGGAAUUCCUAGUGUAGCGGUGAAAUGCGUAGAUAUUAGGAGGAACACCAGUGGCGAAGGCGGCUUUCUGGACUGAAACUGACGCUGAGGCUCGAAAGCGUGGGGAGCAAACAGGAUUAGAUACCCUGGUAGUCCACGCUGUAAACGAUGAGUGCUAGGUGUUGGAGGGGAACCUUCGGUGCCGUCGCAAACGCAAUAAGCACUCCACCUGGGGAGUACGACCGCAAGGUUGAAACUCAAAGGAAUUGACGGGGGCCCGCACAAGCGGUGGAGCAUGUGGUUUAAUUCGAAGCAACGCGAAGAACCUUACCAAGGUUUGAGAUCCCCCUGACGUACAUAGAGAUAUGUAUAUCUUUUCGGAGACAGGGGAGACAGGUGGUGCAUGGUUGUCGUCAGCUCGUGUCGUGAGAUGUUGGGUUAAGUCCCGCAACGAGCGCAACCCUUAUGAUCAGUAGCCAGCAGGUAAAGCUGGGCACUCUGGUAAGACUGCCGUGGAUAACACGGAGGAAGGCGGGGAUGACGUCAAAUCAUCAUGCCCUUUAUGUCUUGGGCUACACACGUGCUACAAUGGUUGGUACAACGAGAAGCGAGAUAGAGAUGUUAAGCGAAACUCUAAAAACCAAUCUCAGUUCGGAUUGUAGGCUGCAACUCGCCUACAUGAAGUCGGAGUUGCUAGUAAUCGCGAAUCAGAAUGUCGCGGUGAAUGCGUUCCCGGGUCUUGUACACACCGC